This is a long non-coding RNA of Tupaia belangeri chinensis (Chinese tree shrew), 746 nucleotides long. RefSeq lists it as uncharacterized. The record is from RefSeq and is a predicted model, not a curated record. NCBI's taxonomy places the organism in Eukaryota, Metazoa, Chordata, Mammalia, Scandentia, Tupaiidae. The transcript is spliced from 3 exons.
GGUGUCCCUAACCCCAAAGGUAAGCGCUGUCCACAGGUCUCUUGCUACAUAGUCACCCAGUGUUGCACUUUUUUGUCUGACAACACAGUAACAAACUAAGAUGUCUUCAUGACCACUUGUUAGGGUGUCCCCACAUCUAGAAUCUAAGUCCCAGGCAGGCAGAAUCAUUUCAUUCACUAAUGCACCCCCUUCCCUAACACUGUGCCUGGCACAUAGUACAUGCACAGAUAAAAUCUAGUGACUGAAUGAUUCCCCCUCGGCGGUAGCUGUGUCGGACACCCCAGUGGGCAGAACUGGGCAGCGGAGAAAGAUGCACCUGUGCCUCCUGUGGAAAUGGAGGACCAUGACGAGGAGGCCAGGGGGUAACAGAGCAGGCUGUCCUGCACAGCCACUCGGCCUGAGCAAGGUGCCCUGCAGGGCAGAUGGCUGCUCUCCUGCACCUGGGCUGCUCCUUGGACCUGGAUGUCCUUUACCUAGAGACAGAGAAGAAAGUACCCUCAACAGAGCCCCACACCGUAACGCUCCCCCAGCCUUCCCAGCCCACCAGGAUCAGGGCACAUGCACCGGCAUGUACAGGUCCACCCUGGAACUGAACCCCAGUCUUCUCUGAGGCUCCAGCACCACCAAGUGGCAUGAUGGCACUGCUCACUGUUCCUGGGCCUCAGGCACCUUUUGAAUCCGCCCUCUGCCCGUUGGAGACUUCUGGAUUCAGUGCACGUGCCCUGUGGCAAAAACUCUUAAAAAAG